UUUUCGUCUGCAGAAAAGAGGAUGAGGACCUCCGAAGGAGGUUUGAGCCGAGCGUAGCGAGACAACGUUGCUUCAGCAACGGCCCGCAGGGCGCUGCUCGCAGA
This 104-nucleotide small RNA is filed under the name Pantoea agglomerans. RNAcentral's name for it is "partial RtT sRNA". It matches the Rfam family "RtT RNA", at positions 1 to 104 of the family's 130-position model. From Rfam's summary of the family: This family represents a bacterial cis-regulatory element known as RtT RNA. The exact function of RtT is unknown although it is thought that it may be involved in changing the cellular response in relation to amino acid starvation. The record is from RNAcentral. Lineage: Bacteria; Pseudomonadati; Pseudomonadota; Gammaproteobacteria; Enterobacterales; Erwiniaceae.